AUAUNGAGAUUUGGAAUGAAAGAUUGAAGAAGUAUGAAGAAGAGAUGAAGAUGAAGCAAAGCAAAGAAGCACCCUCUGAAUUUCAAGAGACCUUUAGCACCCGGGGAUAAACUCCUGAAAUGACAAAAGGACAGUAUCUAGUGGUUUUUGACAUUCAAAUAUGAAGUGGUUCAUUGAACUAUGUAGAUGAGAAAAGAGAUUACCCCCUUUCAGAUAUUGAUGACAAGGGAUGAUUAUUAACACUUCUCCGAGUUCAAAAGCUUUGGCUAGUGAAUUGAAUAUGGGUUUCUUCAUGUGAAUGAAGAGAAUGUUCUUGAAUAUUAUGCAAUGCAUUCUGUGAAAUGACAUUAAUUUUGAGUUAAUACUAUUCCUUUCAAUUUGAUUGCCGCCA
Long non-coding RNA from Ipomoea triloba (trilobed morning glory), 391 nucleotides. RefSeq lists it as uncharacterized. NCBI's taxonomy places the organism in Eukaryota, Viridiplantae, Streptophyta, Magnoliopsida, Solanales, Convolvulaceae. The transcript has 2 exons. The record is from RefSeq and is a predicted model, not a curated record.